UACGUAGGGGGCAAGCGUUAUCCGGAAUUACUGGGUGUAAAGGGUGAGUAGGCGGCAUGGUAAGCCAGAUGUGAAAGCCUUGGGCUUAACCCGAGGACUGCAUUUGGAACUAUCAAGCUAGAGUACAGGAGAGGAAAGCGGAAUUCCUAGUGUAGCGGUGAAAUGCGUAGAUAUUAGGAAGAACACCAGUGGCGAAGGCGGCUUUCUGGGCUGAAACUGACGCUGAGGCACGAAAGCGUGGGGAGCGAACAGG
Molecule: ribosomal RNA, 253 nt
Filed under: uncultured bacterium
Lineage: Bacteria
Description: partial 16S ribosomal RNA
Rfam family: Bacterial small subunit ribosomal RNA
Source: RNAcentral